ACCUGGAAGGUCGGGGCUGCAGGGCUGCGGCGCGGUCAGUCCUCAGGAAAGGCUCCGGCAACUACUCCAGUGGAAAAUAACAAAAACAAAACGUGGCCUCGCGGGGGCCGCUCCUCCUCCCGCCGCAGCUGCAGCCCAGCUCGCUGCUCCUCCUCCUGCCGUUCCCGUCCCUCCCUCGCUCCUUCCUUCCUUCCUUCCAGGCUGCUUCUUUAAUCGGGCUGCUACUCCGCCUCCCGUCCGGCGGGCGGAGAGCGUCGCCUGCAAAAGCUUAUCCGUGAAGCCGCCUCUCCGCCUCUUCGCCUCUUCCUUCGACCCCCGCCCUUGGGGCUGCAGCUCAGAGCCUGGCGCGGGCACUGCCCGGACCCACUUGGCCUCUCUUGAGUCGCCGCGAUCUCCGUCUCCUCCCGGGCGUCUCUGCUGCCCCCUAGAGAGGGGGCCACUCGCAGUGGAGAACUGGGAUUUUUUUUUAACAGUAUUUGCUUGGUUUCAGUUCCUUCUAAAGCCUACACAUUAAUUUCUGAAUUAUCUUUCCUAAUAAUCUCAAAAAACGCUCGUGUUUUCAAUCACAAUAUUAUAAAUUCCAGUUCCAAAUUUCACUUUAAAACAUAAUAUCGACAGCUUGAAUCUUCCUAGUUAUUAAAGCAGCCAACUUCUUAAAAUAUGGAAAAGUUAUGUUUUAUUUAUGUUAUAUCCCCAGUUGAGAGCUAAUGUAGAGAUUUCUUGUUCUUUUAUAUAUAUGUGGUAAUACAUAUUUCCAAAGAACUAAAAAAAAGUUUGGAAUAAUUUGAUCAUUGUAAUUUUAAGACAGGUAGACAAGUAUUCUCCCUUUUUACUCAUACCGAAUGAUAAUUAAGAAUUGGGUAAGAAGUAAAGACAAAAUAAAUAAGAAAGACAC
Molecule: long non-coding RNA, 895 nt
Filed under: Homo sapiens (human)
Lineage: Eukaryota; Metazoa; Chordata; Mammalia; Primates; Hominidae
Description: HSALNT0203777
Source: RNAcentral